CUAAGAUCAAAGUGUAGUAUCUGUUCUUUUCAGCUUAAUAUCUGAAAGUUCCCGCAUUGCGGGACCAGUAUAUUAAACUGAUUUUUGUAAAAUGACGAGAUGUUAGGGGCUCGCUCCACUCCCGUCACGGGUCGGCCCGGCAUUGCAGUGCC
This 152-nucleotide small nuclear RNA is filed under the name Bombyx mori (domestic silkworm). It matches the Rfam family "U2 spliceosomal RNA", at positions 21 to 171 of the family's 192-position model. From Rfam's summary of the family: U2 is a small nuclear RNA (snRNA) component of the spliceosome (involved in pre-mRNA splicing). Complementary binding between U2 snRNA (in an area lying towards the 5' end but 3' to hairpin I) and the branchpoint sequence (BPS) of the intron results the bulging out of an unpaired adenosine, on the BPS, which initiates a nucleophilic attack at the intronic 5' splice site, thus starting the first of two transesterification reactions that mediate splicing. The record is from RNAcentral. Lineage: Eukaryota; Metazoa; Arthropoda; Insecta; Lepidoptera; Bombycidae.